CCUACGGGUGGCUGCAGUCGAGGAUCUUCGGCAAUGGGCGCAAGCCUGACCGAGCGACGCCGCGUGCGGGAUGAAGGCCUUCGGGUUGUAAACCGCUGUCAGAGGGGAUGAAAUGCCGGGAGGUUCUCCUUUCGGUUUGACAGAUCCUCAGAGGAAGGACGGGCUAAGUUCGUGCCAGCAGCCGCGGUAAGACGAACCGUCCAAACGUUAUUCGGAAACGCGUGGCUUGGGGGGUGCGUAGGCGGGGUGUGAAAUCCCUCGGCUCAACCGAGGAAUUGCGCUCCAAACUACCGUGCUUGAGGGAGACAGAGGUGAGUGGAACUUAGGGUGGAGCGGUGAAAUGCGUUGAUAUCCUAAGGAACACCAGUGGCGAAAGCGACUCACUGGGUCUCUUCUGACGCUGAGGCACGAAAGCUAGGGUAGCGAACGGGAUUAGAUACCCCUGUAGUC
Molecule: ribosomal RNA, 450 nt
Filed under: uncultured bacterium
Lineage: Bacteria
Description: partial 16S ribosomal RNA
Rfam family: Bacterial small subunit ribosomal RNA
Source: RNAcentral